CCUACGGGUGGCAGCAGUGAGGAAUAUUGGUCAAUGGACGAGAGUCUGAACCAGCCAAGUAGCGUGAAGGAUGACUGCCCUAUGGGUUGUAAACUUCUUUUAUAUGGGAAUAAAAUGUUCCACGUGUGGGAUUUUGUAUGUACCAUAUGAAUAAGGAUCGGCUAACUCCGUGCCAGCAGCCGCGGUAAUACGGAGGAUCCGAGCGUUAUCCGGAUUUAUUGGGUUUAAAGGGAGCGUAGGUGGAUUGUUAAGUCAGUUGUGAAAGUUUGCGGAUCAACCGUAAAAUUGCAGUUGAAACUGGCAGUCUUGAGUACAGUAGAGGUGUGCGGAAUUCGUGGUGUAGCGGUGAAAUGCUUAGAUAUCACGAAGAACUCCGAUUGCGAAGGCAGUUCACUGGACUGCAACUGACACUGAGGCUCGAAAGUGUGGGUAUCAAACAGGAUUAGAUACCCCAGUAGUC
This 460-nucleotide ribosomal RNA is filed under the name uncultured bacterium. RNAcentral describes it as "partial 16S ribosomal RNA". It matches the Rfam family "Bacterial small subunit ribosomal RNA", at positions 338 to 795 of the family's 1533-position model. The record is from RNAcentral.